Small nuclear RNA from Leopardus geoffroyi (Geoffroy's cat), 106 nucleotides. Lineage: Eukaryota; Metazoa; Chordata; Mammalia; Carnivora; Felidae. The record is from RefSeq and is a predicted model, not a curated record.
GCGCUCGCUUCAGCAGCACAUACACUAAAAUUGAAACGAUACAGAGAAGAUGAGCACGGCCCCUGACAAGGACGACACGCAAAUUCGUGAAGCGUUUCAGCUGUAA